Sus scrofa (pig) is the source of this 2938-nucleotide non-coding RNA. Lineage: Eukaryota; Metazoa; Chordata; Mammalia; Artiodactyla; Suidae. The record is from RefSeq and is a predicted model, not a curated record.
CACGACCCUCAGCACUUUUUUGGGGAUUUCGCGCGGAACCGACAUGGGGAACACGGAGGGGCAGCAGGACAGCCCUACUCUCAGCGACCGGGAAGGCCUCCCAGCUCUGCUCCCCUUGCGUCCGCAGAGCUGCCUCUCGCACUUCGCUGGACACCGGAACUCGAGACAAGCUGUCAGCAGUCGGCAGGGGAGCGAGCGCAGGAGCCGGCACGGGAGGACUGAGCAUGCGUGGUGCGCGCCGGGCGUCCCGUCCGGCGAGAGGUUAGAGGUCGCCGCCGGGGAUGCGCCCGCACCGGCAUUCCAGGGGAACCCGCUGCUUUCGCGGCUCCGAGGGGCUUGGGGACAGCGCUAAGCACUAGUGUGAGGCUCCCAGGAGUUACACUUGUUCCUGCCAAACCAUCCUACUCCUUUUCCAAGGCUCCCGCGGCCGUCGGAAAAAGCCAGAGAAGCGGCCCCUCUCGCCGCGGAUGCACUUCCCUUCCCCGGCAGGAAGGGAGGCGGCUAAGGAGUUGCGCAUGCGCUGUUCGCGGGCGGCCCCUGGAGUGGAGUGGCGUUGCCGGAUUCACCGCCCCGCCGGGAGUGCGCCUGCGCGGUCGCCGGGCUCCCUCCGCCUCCGCUUCCCCUCCCCCUGUCCCCCGCGGGGGCUCUGGGUCCGGCGGGACCAUGUUCACCAGCACCGGCUCCAGUGGGCUCUGUGCUGGAAAUUUAGUCAUAAAUGAAGGACAGAAGGUACAUUCAUGGCGGUGAUCUCAGGAACUAGAAGUCACAAAACACAAGGCACCUCUGUCCAAGAGCCUUUUACUGGUCCCCAGCGCCCUGUCCCUCUUGCUGGCCCUUCUCCUGCCGCACUGUCAGAGGUUCUUUGUGUACGACCUCCAGGCAGUCAAGGACGAAUUCCAGAUUUGGAGAUUGAUAUGUGGAAGAAUAAUUUGCCUCGAUUUGAAAGAUACUUUCUGCAGUAGUCUGCUUAUUUAUAAUUUUAGGAUAUUUGAAAGAAGAUAUGGAAGCAGGAAAUUUGCAUCCUUUUUGCUGGGCUCCUGGGUUCUGUCAGCCGUGGGUGACUUCAUUCUCGUGGAAGCUGUGCAGUAUUCCUUUGGUAUCACUGCAGCCAGAAAUUUGCCUUCUGGAUUCCUGGCACCUGUAUUUGCUCUGUUUGUACCAUUUUACUGCUCCAUCCCGAGAGUCCAAGUGGCGCAUAUCCUGGGCCCGCUGUCCAUCACAAACAAGACACUGAUUUAUAUACUGGGACUACAGCUUUUCACCUCUGGUUCCUACAUCUGGAUUGUAGCCAUAAGUGGACUUGUUUCUGGCAUCUGCUACAACAGCCAAGUGUUGCAAAUGCACGAGGUGCUCUGCGUUCCAAGCUGGAUGGCAAAGUUCUGUUCUUGGGCCCUCGAGCCCAUCUUCUCAUCUUCGGAACCCACCACCGAGGCCCGAAUCGGCAUGGGAGCCACGGUCGACAUCCAGAGGCAGCAGAGGAUGGAGCUGCUGGAUCGGCAGCUGACGCUGGCGCAGUUUGCACACUCGAGGCGGCAGAGGCAGCAACAGGGAGGAAUGAUCAACUGGAAUCGUCUUUUCCCUCCUUUACGACAGCGACGGAACGUCAACUAUCAGGAUGGUCGGCGGUCUGAACCACAAGCGUCCCCUCCUCUAGAGGUUUCAGAGGAGCAGGUUGCCCGGCUCAUGGAAAUGGGAUUUUCCAGAGGUGACGCUUUGGAAGCCCUGAGAGCUUCAAACAAUGACCUUAAUGUGGCCACCAACUUCCUGCUGCAGCAGUGACGUCCCAGCCGACAGCACAGGGACUGGCCGGGCUGCUGACCACAGCGGGCGCCGUCCCCGCCACGCCACCGGACCAGCCCAAGGACCCAGCACCCCCUGGCGCAAUGUUCUCACUGUCCCCUUGGGCAAAGGGUGGUCCCCACUGCUCCCUCCUUUAAUUCCAAGGUCAUUACCAUUAAGUAUCAAAAAUCAGUUUGCCAUUAAAGUAGCAUGUAUUUUCUAUCUUUAUUUUUUUAUGGGGCAUUUUCCUUGUUUUGAGAACCAUCCCUCCUUCCUAAUGUGUUUUAAAUGCAUUAAAAUAGCAGAUUUCUGCAAGUGGUUGAAUAGCCCUCCCGAUGGAAGUUACUGCUACUGUAAUAUUCCUUUGACUGUAGUGCAUCUUCGUACAUUAUAUCUGAUCCCCAGGGCCAGAAAGGAGAAAGGGGAAUGCUAUUCAGAAGGGACCUGUCAAAUUUUAUUCUUUAGGGACUUUUUUCAUUGCUAUUUUUUUCCUCGAAUUUGCUUUCCAACCCCAGUGGCUACUGAGGCUUCCCACUCCCUAGGGGUGAGCAGUUCGUGUGUGCGACACGCAGUGUUGGCCAGGCCUGGGCGACGAGGGAGAGACAGUGACCCAGACUCUCCUCGGCCUCUUUCCAGCCCACUCCAGUCCCGGGGAUUUUCCCCAGCCUCUCCCCGCUUCCACUGGAGAAUGAUGAUGGUAAUCGGGUGCCAAUUCAAGGUUCUGGCAUAUUCCAUGGAACUUAACUGGAGUUAACUUUGCGUAGAAUAUCCACAGUUAGCCACUCGGGCUGGGGUAAAAAUGGAACAAAGAGGAAACCAAAAGAAGAGUGGGCUUCCUGGGGGAGACCGUCAUCAGCCCCGUGUGGGCGCAGCCCUGGAGAAAGCCCCGUGCGGGUCCCAGCCGCGAGGCCAGCCCCUCUGGGUGCGGGUCCUCCCUGGCUCCAGGGCUGUCGGAUGUCAGCUUGGGGCAGAGGAGGCUGCAGAGGACGCCGUCACGGAGGUGGGGGGGAGGCCAGAGCCGACGAGCCUGGAAAGAUCUAAAGCAGGUGACUAUAAGAUUUAAGCAACUAUUGUGUUCUGCACAGCGAGCAGAGAUGUUUCAGACUGAUGCAAAUUUAGACAUGUGUGGUACAUACAAUAAACUUUUUAAUGUGUUUUA